AAAGCCACAGCCCAUAAGCAUGCAGCUCCCUCGGACAAGGCUGUCCCUGGAUGUGUCUUCUCUUUGGGGGAGAGGAAUGCACUAGUUAAUGGUAGCACCGUGAUGGAAAUCACCCAGCAAAUUGGAACAGUUCUCAUCACUUUAAUAACCUAGCGCUUACCAGCAGCACAGAUGAGAAGAAUAUUUCCUGCUCACCGAGCUCCUCAACUCCUCCUCCUGCUCAUGCUCCUCUGCCUGGACCUCCCUCCACAGUGCCCCAUUUCUGAGCCAGGAAGCAUUUCUUACUUGUCUUAAAAAGGAGGGAAGAAGCAUUUAAAAGCCAAACAAAGAAAAUACAAUCCAAUCAGAUGGGUCUUUUGUCAGAACAGACGGUGCCGUGGUGCCAGCCGCAUCCUGCUUCGCUCUGUGCGUUGCUGUGCAUGGUGCCCGAACAUUGCGGGUUGCUUGGCUGUAUUACUUGCCAUCAUUUUGAAAGCUUUCCAGACAAUUCUGUGUGAUUUUGACAUUUCAGGGCUUCUUCAGACGCAUGUGUCAAGAGGGAAACGCAACAUUUUGGGCUCUGUCUUAUCCCCCAGGACUUCCACCUCCCCUGAAGCAAUGACUGUUUUGCAUUCAGUCCCUCUAUACCUGGGACCCUAGACCAUCUGACAAGCCCUGCUUGACUCCUGAAAUUUGCUUGCUUUUGACAUGAAAAUCACCAACAGUUUAAAAGCAAUGCUGUUCCUCAAGAAGGAAAGGCAAAGUGUCCUCUGUCACCGCCGGUGUGACUGGUAAUGGGAAAAAUGCAAAGAGCCAGUUCCCUGACACAUAUUGAGCUAAUUCAACAGUAUCAUUGUCCAUAUUGCAAUGUAAAGGUCUGGCACAAAAUAAAGCUACAGAACAGUGGAGGGGGAACUGAGGCCGAGCUCAGAGAGAAAUGCUUCCAUGGCUAGCUGCUGCCUGGCUGUGCUCGCGGGCCACAGUGGCAGGCACACUGCAGUAACCUGUCACACUUGAAGAAGUACCUGUCUUUGUCCUUCAACCUGCCAGCAGAGAAUUUGCAGGUCCACCAUGGGUUAUUUCUCAGACAGUCGGAGCCGUUGACACCCAGAUUCCUGAUGUUUUGUCCAUUGGAGGGGAGGAAGCCAACACUGGAUUUUGCAUGUGCUCUGCUAAUGCCCAGGCAGUGGUGUUUUUUUGUUGUUGUUGUUGUGUGUUUUUUUUUCUACUGGCAAUCUUGUGAAAAUCAAUUUCUGUCUAAAAAGAUCAUUCCUGCAGUUGCUACCAGCUCCUGCCAUAUUUCACGAGAAUGAGACAGUGUUCACCUCGCUGGAGGUGACGUUGCUUUCUGCUGGUCAUGCCAGCAGUUCUGGCCCCUGCACACCUCAAGGUCCCUGUUCAAGUAUGAAUGUUCCCAUCCGUUUCUGUAAAUAACUCCUUGGUCCCUCAUCAGUUAGGCUCCAGGGACUCCCACACCCCCCUGAUUGCUGCAGCCAACUAAGAAAUGUCUGCAGACACAGUUGCCAGAUUGUCCAGGAUCGCUGCAAUGGUUCCCAGCAAAAUCCUAAUUUUUAUAUGGCAUUUAAAAAUACAAUUAUUUAUAAACAACACACAAAUGUAGCCAUUUUAAAAAAUAUAUUUGUUCCACAAUAGUUGUUGAUGAAUCAACGUUUCCCAUCCUUCCCCUUCCAGUAAGUGUCUUAUCUAAGAACAUGCUGCCCUUCCUGCUGGAAAUCCUGCUGUGUCUUUGGAGACCUUGUCUUCUCCCUUCCUCUCCAAGGAACCACCAAGAAGGGAAGAGAAACUAGAAUGAUUUCGCAAGCUCUAGUGCUUCCUGUGAUGUGUUCCCCAAAUUCAGCCUGGGUGGAGAAUGGAUUGAGAGCAGCCCUGUUGAGACGCCCUGAGGGUGUUGGUGGGUGAGAAGCUCGACACGAGACGGCAAUGUGUGCUUGCAGCCCAGAACGCCAGUGUAUGCUGGGCUGGACCAAAAGCAGCGUGGCCAGGAGGGCAG
This is a long non-coding RNA of Cygnus olor (mute swan), 1990 nucleotides long. RefSeq lists it as uncharacterized. The record is from RefSeq and is a predicted model, not a curated record. NCBI's taxonomy places the organism in Eukaryota, Metazoa, Chordata, Aves, Anseriformes, Anatidae. The transcript is spliced from 3 exons.